CGAGUGAAGCUGUGUCCAAAGAGGGGAACCAAGGAAGACAACACCACUCCUCACUCGGAAAGAGAAGAAUUUCCCCUUAGCGAAGCAUCAUGGCUUUCACACCAUAUCGUAGAUUGAGAGGAUCAUACGAACCUGAGACCAAGAUUAUGUUGUGCGCUAUGCUUUCUGGAGUUGUUAUACUCCCUCUGAUAUUAUUCCUUGAAUGCCAUUAUGAGUACAAGUCAAUGGAAAGUUUGAAACCUGUUUGUUUCUGGAGAAAUGACUCUGACAUGAUGAACAAUUCUUCAAUACCCCCAGCCCAAUUAGGCCUUAGCCCCUCAUCUAGCACUCGUCACACACGCUCCCUCAAGAACCUUUCUCCACCACCUAUCUAUCAGCAUGUAAUAUGCAAGCACUCAUUGACUGAACACAUAUGGAUGAACUGGAUAAAUAAUAACCCUUAUAAGUACCAGUUACCCAUAUGGAAUGUGUCCACAGCUAAUGAAACCGAUGCAUUAUGUUUGUUUGAAGGUUCACGGAAAAUUGUUAGAUCUUAUAACGCAGAAAUGUGCACAGUUAAGGUUGCUAAUUACACCAGCAUCUGUGCCACCUUAUUUAAUAUAAGUUCUGAUGGUAAAAAAAACCCACCUAAACAGGUUUGGGAUAUAUAUUAUAAGAAAAUUAGUAAGGUUGCAUAUCAAUGUAAACAGACAGGCCUUAUUAUUUUUAAUAAUGAUUAUACAACUGGUACCAUUAAUUGGAAAAGGGGACAAAUGUUAGUCAUUAUGAAUGACACUGCGAUUGAGAACUGUACACUAUCUUAUAUUUUUACACCUUAUUACUGUCCUUCAUCCACUAUCAUAGAACCAAAAGUCAACCACGACACACACACACCUAUUCCGUCCACAUGUGUUAAUACAACUGCCUUCUUACAAGCUGUACAUGUGUCAUUAAAAAUCACUACUCCUGUUGUAACAAUAUGUAACACAGCAAACAAAAG
Molecule: non-coding RNA, 979 nt
Organism: Pelobates cultripes (western spadefoot toad)
Lineage: Eukaryota; Metazoa; Chordata; Amphibia; Anura; Pelobatidae
Source: the annotation of a GenBank genome assembly